RNAcentral lists this ribosomal RNA (393 nucleotides) under uncultured soil bacterium. RNAcentral's name for it is "bacterial SSU rRNA". It matches the Rfam family "Bacterial small subunit ribosomal RNA", at positions 26 to 404 of the family's 1533-position model. The record is from RNAcentral.
AGAACGAACGUUAGCGGUGUGGAUUAGGCAUGCAAGUCGAGCGCGAAAGCCCGCAAGGGUGAGUAAAGCGGCGAAAGGGUGAGUAAUACGUAACCAACUUACCCCUGAGACCGGAAUAACCGACGGAAACGUUGGCUAAUGCCGGAUGGCCCUUCCGGGAGGCAUCUCCUGGCUGGUAAACGGUGGCGCAAGCUGCUGCUCGGGGGAGGGGGUUAUGGGAUAUCAGCUAGUUGGUGGGGUAAUGGCCUACCAAGGCGAUGACGUCUAGCCGGUCUGAGAGGAUGGUCGGCCACAGUUGGGACUGAGACACUGACCCAAACUCCGUACGGGAGGCUGCAGUCGAGGUAUCGUUCCGCAAGUGGGACGAAAGCCUGACGGAGCGACACCGCGUAC